This 238-nucleotide ribosomal RNA is filed under the name uncultured bacterium. RNAcentral describes it as "partial 16S ribosomal RNA". The record is from RNAcentral.
CUGCUGCCUUCCGUAGGAGUCUGGGCCGUAUCUCAGUCCCAAUGUGGCCGAUCAACCUCUCAGUCCGGCUACCGAUCGUCGCCUUGGUGGGCCGUUGCCCCACCAACUAGCUAAUCGGCCGCGAGCCCAUCUUCCAGCGGAUUGCUCCUUUGGCUGCAUCGGGAUGCCCCAUCGCAGCGUUAUGCGGUAUUAGCAGUCGUUUCCAACUGUUAUCCCCCUNUGAAAGGCAGGUUGCUCA